GUCGUGAAGGUGUUGAUUGUCCUGACCCCACAGUUUCUGUCCCGUGACAAGGACCAGCUGACCAAGGAGCUGCAGCAGCAUGUAAAGUCAGUGACAGUCUCAUGCAAGUCCCCAAGGAAGAUGGAGUUUGUCCCGGAGCUGCCGAAAACUGUCACUGGAAAGAUUAAACAAGGUGAACUUGAGAAAAGGAGCUUGGUCAGAUGAUAUCGUCAAUUUUCUGCCUGGGCAUUUUCAUCCCGGGCCUGACUUUUUUGGAAUUCCUUGGAUGCUUAUCAUUAUUGUUGUGUCCCUGGGAAUUUACAAACUUGCCAUUUUCUUCUGCAAAACUAGCCUUGGUGUGAGUACCAAGUCUGUCUUACAGUCACAAAAUGUCAAUGACAGAACACGGAUUUACAGGGGAAAGCCUGCAGGUCCAAUAGCCGUAGCCAGGAAGAAGGGCUCAGGUCCACUUAUAUGCACACGAAUAGAAGGAUUUUAUCCUUUGCAGGAAUUAAAAUGGACCCAAAAUACCUCUUUACAUUAUGGAGAUCUACAGAAGCUAAAGUGCAAGCCAAAGUCCAAAAGGUGAUGAUGAAGGUCAACAGUCAUUGCGAAAUCUCUGGGCAAAGAAAGACUGCCGAGGAAGAGUAAGAUGU
RNAcentral lists this long non-coding RNA (635 nucleotides) under Homo sapiens (human). Its description in RNAcentral is "non-protein coding lnc-PLAC9-2:6". The record is from RNAcentral. Lineage: Eukaryota; Metazoa; Chordata; Mammalia; Primates; Hominidae.